CCUACGGGUGGCAGCAGUGAGGAAUAUUGGUCAAUGGACACAAGUCUGAACCAGCCAUGCCGCGUGCAGGAAGACGGCUCUAUGAGUUGUAAACUGCUUUUGUACGAGGGUAAACGCAGAUACGUGUAUCUGUUUGAAAGUAUCGCACGAAUAAGGAUCGGCUAACUCCGUGCCAGCAGCCGCGGUAAUACGGAGGAUUCAGGCGUUAUCCGGAUUUAUUGGGUUUAAAGGGUGCGUAGGCCGUCGGAUAAGUGAGAGGUGAAAUGCCGAGGCUCAACUUCGGAAUUGCGGCUGGUACUGUUCGGCUAGAGAGUAGUUGCGGUAGGCGGAAUGUAUGGUGUAGCGGUGAAAUGCUUAGAGAUCAUACAGAACACCGAUUGCGAAGGCAGCUUACCAAGCUACUUCUGACGUUGAGGCACGAAAGCGUGGGGAGCAAACAGGAUUAGAUACCCGAGUAGUC
This 460-nucleotide ribosomal RNA is filed under the name uncultured bacterium. Its description in RNAcentral is "partial 16S ribosomal RNA". It matches the Rfam family "Bacterial small subunit ribosomal RNA", at positions 338 to 795 of the family's 1533-position model. The record is from RNAcentral.